RNAcentral lists this transfer RNA (76 nucleotides) under Dehalococcoidia bacterium. Its description in RNAcentral is "tRNA-Arg". It matches the Rfam family "tRNA". Rfam says of the family: Transfer RNA (tRNA) molecules are approximately 80 nucleotides in length. Their secondary structure includes four short double-helical elements and three loops (D, anti-codon, and T loops). Further hydrogen bonds mediate the characteristic L-shaped molecular structure. tRNAs have two regions of fundamental functional importance: the anti-codon, which is responsible for specific mRNA codon recognition, and the 3' end, to which the tRNAs corresponding amino acid is attached (by aminoacyl-tRNA synthetases). tRNAs cope with the degeneracy of the genetic code in two manners: having more than one tRNA (with a specific anti-codon) for a particular amino acid; and 'wobble' base-pairing, i.e. permitting non-standard base-pairing at the 3rd anti-codon position. Lineage: Bacteria; Bacillati; Chloroflexota; Dehalococcoidia. RNAcentral also lists the same sequence under 2 other names. The record is from RNAcentral.
GCGCCUGUAGCUCAGCGGACAGAGCAUUGGUCUUCGGAACCAAGGGUCGGGGGUUCGAAUCCCUUCAGGCGCGCCA